Molecule: long non-coding RNA, 210 nt
Filed under: Nicotiana benthamiana
Lineage: Eukaryota; Viridiplantae; Streptophyta; Magnoliopsida; Solanales; Solanaceae
Description: long non-coding RNA (NBEN_LNC037171)
Source: RNAcentral
AAGUUGGAAUAUUCGAUCUAACAAAACAAUUGAAAAGUUCAAUUUUGUUAGAUGCGAAGAAGAAUCUUGUGUGUACAAAAAGGUUAGUGGGAGCACAAUUAUAGUUUUAGUGUUGUAUGUUGAUGAUAUAUUGCUCAUAGGGAAUGACGUACCGGCAUUGCAAAAUACCAAGAUUUGGCUAUCUGAACAGUUUUCCAUGAAAGANNNNNN